UACGUAGGGAGCAAGCGUUGUUCGGAAUUACUGGGCGUAAAGGGCGCGUAGGCGGCCUGUUAAGUCGAACGUGAAAUCCCCCGGCUUAACCUGGGAACUGCGUCUGAUACUGGAAGGCUUGAGUAUGGGAGAGGGAUGUAGAAUUCCAGGUGUAGCGGUGAAAUGCGUAGAUAUCUGGAGGAAUACCGGUGGCGAAGGCGGCAUCCUGGACCAUUACUGACGCUGAGGCGCGAAAGCUAGGGGAGCAAACGGG
Molecule: ribosomal RNA, 253 nt
Filed under: uncultured bacterium
Lineage: Bacteria
Description: partial 16S ribosomal RNA
Rfam family: Bacterial small subunit ribosomal RNA
Source: RNAcentral